GCUGGGCAUGGUCACACACACCUGUAAUCCUAGCAGCUUGGGAGGCUGAGACAGGAGGAUCAUGAGUUCAAAGCCAGCCUCAGCAAUGACAAUGGGAUAAGCAACUCAAUGAGAUCCUGUCUCUG
RNAcentral lists this small RNA (125 nucleotides) under Marmota monax (woodchuck). Lineage: Eukaryota; Metazoa; Chordata; Mammalia; Rodentia; Sciuridae. The record is from RNAcentral.